Long non-coding RNA from Suricata suricatta (meerkat), 1130 nucleotides. RefSeq lists it as uncharacterized. NCBI's taxonomy places the organism in Eukaryota, Metazoa, Chordata, Mammalia, Carnivora, Herpestidae. The transcript is spliced from 3 exons. The record is from RefSeq and is a predicted model, not a curated record.
AGAAGUGUAAGAAGUCAAUUAGCAUAUGUAAGUCCCUGGCCCACAGACAAGUUCUUCUCAGAACUGUCCCGUGUGAGUCCUCCCGGAUGCCCGCUGCCUAAGCGAGUCAUGUGGGCAAGCCUGGAGCCAAUGGAGCAGGGAGGCCUAGCGCAUUGUCACGUGUCACUGAGGACCUUGGUGGUUUGUGAUGCUGUGAGCAUGUCGAUGAUACGUCACACUCCCUUCCUUCCUCUUCACUGCAGUGGAGGCAUCUCCUGCUCCUGCUCCUGGACAGUGACGCCAGGUCAAGCUGCCAGCUUUGUGACCUCAGACAAGCCAGUCAACCUCUCUGAGCUUCGGUGACCAAACCGCGAGAGGGCUGGAGAAAGAGCAAGGCUGGUCUUCCAGGAUCCGUGGCUAAAAUCAUCCCACACAUCAGGCGGCAGGAGCUCAGCCCCACGGCCACCUCGGCUGCCACCGCACUGAUGCCGCCUCUGCCCUGGGGACAGGCCGGCAGCUGUGGGCGGGCUCUGCAGCCCCGGACAUCUUCACAGGAACCUGGGCAUGUCUGCCUCCCCAGGACCCACCCCACCCACCCCCGGAGCCCGCGGUCCUUACCUCUGAAUCGAGGGCUCGCACGGUCGUGGCUCAUUGAUGGGGCUGCAUCCCAGCUGUGAAUCCUGGCUUCCCCAGAGAGAAUUCCCUCAGCAUGAAGAUUUCCUCAGAUAGGGAAAUCUUAGUCCGAAGACAAAGUAGCUACAGAUGUGACAGCAUCCACGACGCGGAGCAUGAGCACCAAAAUCGAAGGGGGCUUCAAACACUAGCCUUCACCUAAGCCGAGGGCUUGAUUUCUCUGCCCAAGGCCCAUUUGGCAUCAGUCUUUGUGGCGGUGGUAACACGGUGUCCGUGACAAGACUGUGGCAGGACUGGGGACAGACAACUGGGAGGUGGACGGCCUCUGCCGACAAGUGCGGGCUGGGGCUGGGUCCACACAGGACUAACGCACCAGCUCCCAGGCGUCUGCAGCGUCUAGUGGCUCCUGCUUUGAACCCCGAUCAAAGUUCUAGUGGUGCAGUUUCUCCAACAGCCUAUGAGGCCAGUGUGUGCCACCCAAGGGAAAUAAUAAUAAAAAUGAUCAUCGUUCUAAUUUG